UUGAAUCAUUUGCAUCUAUUCUCUCUAGGUUUCAAAAACUCAUUGCUCAUACAUUCUUCAAGAUUAAACACUUUUUCUUAGAAUCACUUUGUCUUUGAGUGUGUAGAUUCUCUAGGGUGCUAGUAGGGAUUGUAAGUUGGUUCUCUCAAGAAGAUUGAUUGGGCUUAAUCAAGGCUUCAAAAUAAGUGAAUAAUCUCAUUCCACCUCCAAAGGACUUGGGGGUCUUUCUAACUAUUCUUGAUAUCGAAGGGAGUUCGUUUACCGGACGUAGCAUUGAAGAC
RNAcentral lists this long non-coding RNA (281 nucleotides) under Medicago truncatula (barrel medic). RNAcentral's name for it is "long non-coding RNA (MTRU_LNC007259)". Lineage: Eukaryota; Viridiplantae; Streptophyta; Magnoliopsida; Fabales; Fabaceae. The record is from RNAcentral.